Molecule: long non-coding RNA, 432 nt
Organism: Oncorhynchus tshawytscha (Chinook salmon)
Lineage: Eukaryota; Metazoa; Chordata; Actinopteri; Salmoniformes; Salmonidae
Source: Ensembl
GGGGGAAAGGUAGAGAGAGACUGGGGGGGAAAGGUAGAGAGAGACCGGGGGAGAAAGGUAGAGAGAGACCGGGGGAGAAAGGUAGAGAGAGACCGGGGGAGAAAGGUAGAGAGAACGGGGGAAGAAGGAGAGUUACCAGGGGGAGAGAGAGGGAGAGAGAGAGAACAGGGGGAGAAAGAGGGAGAGAGAGAAUGGGGAGAAAGAGGGAGAGAGAGAAUGGGGAGAGAGAGGGAGAGAGAGACUGGGGGGAGAAAGAGAAUGAAAGAGAACAGGGAGAGAGAGAGAUCAGGUUGAGAAAGAGGGAGCGAUAGGGAGAGACAGAUUGGGGGAGAGAGAGGGGCUGGAGGAAAGAGAGACUGGGGGAGAGAGAGGGGCUGGAGGAAAGAGAGACUGGGGGAAAGAGAGGGGCUGGAGGAAAGAGAGACUGGGGGA